UUUGGACAAUGGGCGCAAGCCUGAUCCAGCAAUGCCGCGUGAGUGAAGAAGGCCUUCGGGUUGUAAAGCUCUUUCAGUUGAGAAGAAAAGAUUGUGACUAAUAAUUGCAAUUCAUGACGGUAUCAACAGAAGAAGCACCGGCUAACUACGUGCCAGCAGCCGCGGUAAUACGUAGGGUGCGAGCGUUAAUCGGAAUUACUGGGCGUAAAGGGUGCGCAGGCGGUUCUGUAAGUCAGAUGUGAAAUCCCCGGGCUUAACCUGGGAACCGCGUUUGAAACUACAGAGCUAGAGUGUGGCAGAGGGGGGUGGAAUUCCAUGUGUAGCAGUGAAAUGCGUAGAGAUAUGGAAGAACAUCGAUGGCGAAGGCAGCCCCCUGGGUCAACACUGACGCUCAUGCACGAAAGCGUGGGGAGCAAACAGGAUUAGAUACCCUGGUAGUCCACGCCCUAAACUAUGUCAACUAGUUGUCGGGCCUUAUUAGGUUUGGUAACGUAGCUAACGCGUGAAGUUGACCGCCUGGGGAGUACGGUCGCAAGAUUA
RNAcentral lists this ribosomal RNA (540 nucleotides) under uncultured bacterium. RNAcentral describes it as "bacterial SSU rRNA". It matches the Rfam family "Bacterial small subunit ribosomal RNA", at positions 363 to 896 of the family's 1533-position model. The record is from RNAcentral.